Molecule: ribosomal RNA, 118 nt
Organism: Aotus nancymaae (Ma's night monkey)
Lineage: Eukaryota; Metazoa; Chordata; Mammalia; Primates; Aotidae
Source: Ensembl
GUCUAUGGCCAUUCUACCCUGAAUGCACCCAAUUGCUCAUCUCAUCUCAAAAGCUAAGCAGGGUUAAGCCUGGUUAGUACUUGGAUAGGAGAAAUCUGGAAAACAAGAACCAAAACCA